Long non-coding RNA from Antechinus flavipes (yellow-footed antechinus), 765 nucleotides. RefSeq lists it as uncharacterized. Lineage: Eukaryota; Metazoa; Chordata; Mammalia; Dasyuromorphia; Dasyuridae. The record is from RefSeq and is a predicted model, not a curated record. The transcript is spliced from 4 exons.
GUGCGCCACUGGCCCGUCGGCGAGCCUGCAGGAGAGGAUUAGGAAUUCAGAGGCAACUUUCUCAGGGCUCUUGUCCAUCUCCCUUGAUACUUUAUGCUGUGCGCUGCUCAGUCUCUCCCCCCUUUACCCCCUCCUUUUUCUCUCCCCUCCCCCCUUUCAUUUCUAUCGAUGAAUUUCCCUCUAUUCCUCUCGCUUUCCUUUCUCCUUUCCUUCCUUCCCUUGAUUCUCCACCGUUCCGGCGAGCCUCUUCGUGGCCCGCUUUUGUGCAGCUGGCGGCGAAUGGCUGGUUGCCACAUCGCAAGCUUAAGGAAAGUAAGGUGAUACCCUCUUUAGCUGAGAAUCAGUGUGAAAAUACACAGUGCUGGUCCGCGACUUCUAAAACCAAGAUAACAGUCCUAUCUAAUUCAAAGGGGAAGAAGAAGUAGCAGUUUCUCCAUGUGCGUCAGCGGGAGGCAAAGGAUUAUAAUCGGCAAUGGCCCUCACUAACCCGCAGUGAUCUGGAGAAGGUGGAAGGAAGUGUCCAUAUCUUUCUAACAUUUCCUAGACUGAGUUCAGGAGGAAGGAAAGCUGGAAAUAAGACUCCCCCAUUCCUUCACAUUCGUCUCCAUCCUCUCUUUCUUCCAAUUAAGUAAAAAUAAAAAUGUUCUUGGUCAUUCCUUGUAGGAUCAUAUUUAACACCCCCUCCUUUCCACCCCUUCCACUCUCCCUCCCCACCCCCCGGCACACUUUGUCGAAAAACUAGGGCAAACUACAACGGACACCACA